GACGAACGCUGGCGGCGUGCUUAACACAUGCAAGUCGAACGGAAAGGCCCUGCUUUUGUGGGGUGCUCGCGUGGCGAACGGGUGAGUAACACGUGAGUAACCUGCCCUUGACUUUGGGAUAACUUCAGGAAACUGGGGCUAAUACCGGAUAGGAGCUCCUGCUGCAUGGUGGGGGUUGGAAAGUUUCGGCGGUUGGGGAUGGACUCGCGGCUUAUCAGCUUGUUGGUGGGGUAGUGGCUUACCAAGGCUUUGACGGGUAGCCGGCCUGAGAGGGUGACCGGCAACAUUGGGACUGAGAUACGGCCCAGACUCCUACGGUAGGCAGCAGUGGGGAAUAUUGCACAAUGGGCUGAAGCCUGAUGCAGCAACGCCGCGUGCGGGAUGACGGCCUUCGGGUUGUAAACCGCUUUCGCCUGUGACGAAGCGUGAGUGACGGUAAUGGGUAAAGAAGCACCGGCUAACUACGUG
This 468-nucleotide ribosomal RNA is filed under the name uncultured bacterium. RNAcentral describes it as "partial 16S ribosomal RNA". It matches the Rfam family "Bacterial small subunit ribosomal RNA", at positions 28 to 507 of the family's 1533-position model. The record is from RNAcentral.